CCUACGGGCGGCAGCAGUGGGGAAUAUUGCACAAUGGGGGAAACCCUGAUGCAGCGACGCCGCGUGAGCGAUGUAGUAUUUCGGUAUGUAAAGCUCUAUCAGCAGGGACGAAUAAGCAAUGCAAAUAGUUUUGUGUAUGACGGUACCUGUUUAGAAAGCUCCGGCUAACUACGUGCCAGAAGCCGCGGUAAUACGUAGGGAGCAUGCGUUGUCCGGAAUUACUGGGCGUAAAGGGCGCGUAGGUGGGCGCUUAAGUCAGGUGUGAAAACUCCGGGCUCAACCUGGGGAAUGCAGUUGAGACUGGUUGUCUUGAGGGCAGGAGAGGAAAGUGGAAUUCCUAGUGUAGCGGUGAAAUGCGUAGAUAUUAGGAGGAACACCAGUGGCGAAGGCGACUUUCUGGACUGUAACUGACGCUGAGGCGCGAAAGCGUGGGGAGCGAACGGGAUUAGAUACCCGAGUAGUC
This 463-nucleotide ribosomal RNA is filed under the name uncultured bacterium. Its description in RNAcentral is "partial 16S ribosomal RNA". It matches the Rfam family "Bacterial small subunit ribosomal RNA", at positions 338 to 795 of the family's 1533-position model. The record is from RNAcentral.